Molecule: ribosomal RNA, 386 nt
Filed under: uncultured bacterium
Lineage: Bacteria
Description: bacterial SSU rRNA
Rfam family: Bacterial small subunit ribosomal RNA
Source: RNAcentral
AUUGAACGCUGGCGGCGUGCUUAACACAUGCAAGUCGAGCGGCAGCGCGGGAGCAAUCCUGGCGGCGAGCGGCGAACGGGUGAGUAAUGCUUCGGAAUCUGCCCUUCAGUGGGGAAUAACCAGUCGAAAGACUGGCUAAUACCGCAUACGAACUGAGGUUGAAAGCAGGGGAUCGCAAGACCUUGCGCUGAUUGAGCGGCCGAUAUCAGAUUAGCUAGUUGGUGAGGUAAAGGCUCACCAAGGCGACGAUCUGUAGCGGGUCUGAGAGGAUGAUCCGCCACACUGGAACUGAGACACGGUCCAGACUCCUACGGGAGGCAGCAGUGGGGAAUUUUGGACAAUGGGGGCAACCCUGAUCCAGCCAUGCCGCGUGAGUGAAGAAGGCC